RNAcentral lists this unclassified non-coding RNA (18 nucleotides) under Chlamydomonas reinhardtii. Its description in RNAcentral is "small RNA Cre_0057". The record is from RNAcentral. Lineage: Eukaryota; Viridiplantae; Chlorophyta; Chlorophyceae; Chlamydomonadales; Chlamydomonadaceae.
AACGCCUGUUCUGCUGGU